CUGACGUCAGUUCAACAUGCAGUGAAACAAAUGCAGGCGCGGUAACGAGUUAGCUGAUGAAAGUGAAUUGAGCUCAUGUUUCUGAUGAGAGGACAGAGGAGAAGAAUGGAGGUAUAAAGCAGAAGUGAAGAUAGCAGCCUCAUACCUGUUGCACUAGCUGCGCUCAGACCGAAAUGAUGGAUUUCAUCUGGAUUCAAACGUGGCGCUGAGGGGAAUAAGCACACUCUUCAACAGAGGCUCAGUGACACUGCAGGCUGUGUAAGGACCUUUCCAGGCCGCCUACAUGGGCGGGUGUGUGUGCUGCGUGGAGGAGGGCGAGGCGGCAGCAGAGGAUGAUGAGAGCGAGGGAGGAGGGGGCUGAGGGGCGGUGGUGGAGGAGGAGGAGGUGGAAGUGGUGGUGGCAGUGGCAGCGCAGCCGAUGAUGAUGAUGAUGUCUCUAUCUUGCUGCUGUGUGUGAUGAAGCGCAGGCGCAGCUUCAUGGCUGGACGCAAAGUCAUGAUGAUUUUCUCCACCUAGAGAGGGAUGGAGGCAGACGGAUGGACAGAGGAAGAGAGAGAAAUACACAGAUGUUGACAAAAGGAUAAUUCAGUAAGAUAAGGAGGAAAAUAGGGAACGUUAGGAAAAACAACAAAUGCCAGCGACAUGACGUUGAUCAUGUUUAAACUGACCUGUGGAGUUAAUUCUCUGAAGCACUUAGUUUUGAAUCACAGCCCCCAAAUAUACAAAAUGUAGAGUCUGGGUAAAGACUACUCUCAGUGUACAACAAUGGCUUUGUCUAUUAAAUUAGUGAUUUGAAAAGUCGAUAUAAAAGAACACUUGUUUAAGCCUCAAGCACAAAGUGAAGCUACAGUUUCAUCUCCUAAUUAACUCUGUGUCAGGGCUGGACACUGGUGGGGACUUGUCUUGCUGCACAGGAGGUGACAGGUUCAAACUAAAAAUGGAAACACAAAACUGUCUCCUGAGGAGCAGCGAGUUCACAAAUGUCAUCUUAAUUGAAAGCUAGGUGAUGAAGGACUCCAUUUGUCUUUAUUUCUAGUAUGUAUAACAGUUGUGUUUUGUCAGUUUUAUUUUCUGUUAUACUCUAUUAUUUUCAUUAUGGUCUACCUGUUCAAACAUGCUCGUGUACUCAGACUGACAGCUAUAAUGACACAAUAAUAAAAGUCGAUUAUUGAAUUUCAAGUUGAUGAUUAAAGCUCACCUGUUCCUUCA
Molecule: long non-coding RNA, 1209 nt
Organism: Lates calcarifer (barramundi perch)
Lineage: Eukaryota; Metazoa; Chordata; Actinopteri; Centropomidae
Exons: 4
Source: RefSeq, a predicted model, not a curated record